This is a long non-coding RNA of Poecilia latipinna (sailfin molly), 408 nucleotides long. RefSeq lists it as uncharacterized. The transcript is spliced from 2 exons. The record is from RefSeq and is a predicted model, not a curated record. Lineage: Eukaryota; Metazoa; Chordata; Actinopteri; Cyprinodontiformes; Poeciliidae.
UACAAAUUGACAGACAUGGAGUAAGACCUCUCAACUUGUCCACAGCUAAAUCCAAUGAGGUUUCUGGAAAAGACAAACAUGACAAACAGUUUAAAAAGUCUUUGUCAUGUAAAAAAGAACAGAAACUCAACAAACAGGUUACUGAAAAUGCAGAGAAACAAGUCGUAAUGCAAAGGCAAAAACACAAGAAAGUUAGUGAAGGCAUUCGGUCACAAUAUGUACAUGACGAGAGGGAGAAAAAUGUUCCUGAAAAGGUUACAUUUCAAGAGAAACGUAAGAAGAUGGCCUAUGAUAAUCUGCAGGAUAUAAGGAGACAAGAAGAUGUCAAAGAUGCUUUUGAGGAGAAAAAUUUUUAUAAAGAAAUAACUAAGCCGGAGUUUGCCCAAAAGUUACUUGACAAACAGGAGA